AGGUUAAGAGGAUGCGUCAGUCGCAAGAUGAAGCGUUGAAUUGAAGCCCGAGUAAACGGCGGCCGUAACUAUAACGGUCCUAAGGUAGCGAAAUUCCUUGUCGGUUAAAUACCGACCUGCAUGAAUGGCGUAACGAGAUGGGAGCUGUCUCAACCAGAGAUUCAGUGAAAUUGUAGUGGAGGUGAAAAUUCCUCCUACCCGCGGCAAGACGGAAAGACCCCGUGGACCUUUACUACAACUUAGCACUGCUAAUGGGAAUAUCAUGCG
Molecule: ribosomal RNA, 267 nt
Filed under: Helicobacter pylori
Lineage: Bacteria; Pseudomonadati; Campylobacterota; Epsilonproteobacteria; Campylobacterales; Helicobacteraceae
Description: partial 23S ribosomal RNA
Rfam family: Bacterial large subunit ribosomal RNA
Source: RNAcentral